AAUGGGUCAGCGACUUAUAUUCUGUAGCAAGGUUAACCGUAUAGGGGAGCCGCAGGGAAACCGAGUCUUAAUUGGGCGUUAAGUUGCAGGGUAUAGACCCGAAACCCGGUGAUCUAGCCAUGGGCAGGUUGAAGGUUGGGUAACACUAACUGGAGGACCGAACCGACUAAUGUUGAAAAAUUAGCGGAUGACCUGUGGCUGGGGGUGAAAGGCCAAUCAAACCGGGAGAUAGCUGGUUCUCCCCGAAAGCUAUUUAGGUAGCGCCUCGUGAAUUCAUCUCCGGGGGUAGAGCACUGUUUCGGCUAGGGGGCCAUCCCGGCUUACCAACCCGAUGCAAACUGCGAAUACCGGAGAAUGUUAUCACGGGAGACACACGGCGGGUGCUAACGUCCGUCGUGAAGAGGGAAACAACCCAGACCGCCAGCUAAGGUCCCAAAGUCAUGGUUAAGUGGGAAACGAUGUGGGAAGGCCCAGACAGCCAGGAUGUUGGCUUAGAAGCAGCCAUCAUUUAAAGAAAGCGUAAUAGCUCACUGGUCGAGUCGGCCUGCGCGGAAGAUGUAACGGGGCUAAACCAUGCACCGAAGCUGCGGCAGCGAACGUAUCACUUAAAGCGAUUCAGCGGGUUACGAUUGACGGAGCGAAGCGACGUCAAAGCGUAUACAAAGUCGAGUCGGUUUAAGGAUACGUUCGUUGGGUAGGGGAGCGUUCUGUAAGCCUGCGAAGGUGGCCUGUGAGGGUUGCUGGAGGUAUCAGAAGUGCGAAUGCUGACAUAAGUAACGAUAAAGCGGGUGAAAAGCCCGCUCGCCGGAAGACCAAGGGUUCCUGUCCAACGUUAAUCGGGGCAGGGUGAGUCGACCCCUAAGGCGAGGCCGAAAGGCGUAGUCGAUGGGAAACGGGUUAAUAUUCCCGUACUUGGUGUUACUGCGAAGGGGGGACGGAGAAGGCUAUGUUGGCCGGGCGACGGUUGUCCCGGUUUAAGCGUGUAGGUGUGUGUUCCAGGUAAAUCCGGUUCACUUUAACACUGAGGCGUGACGACGAGGCACUACGGUGCUGAAGCAACAAAUGCCCUGCUUCCAGGAAAAGCCUCUAAGCAUCAGGUAACAUCAAAUCGUACCCCAAACCGACACAGGUGGUCAGGUAGAGAAUACCAAGGCGCUUGAGAGAACUCGGGUGAAGGAACUAGGCAAAAUGGUGCCGUAACUUCGGGAGAAGGCACGCUGACACGUAGGUGAAGUGAUUUACUCAUGGAGCUGAAGUCAGUCGAAGAUACCAGCUGGCUGCAACUGUUUAUUAAAAACACAGCACUGUGCAAACACGAAAGUGGACGUAUACGGUGUGACGCCUGCCCGGUGCCGGAAGGUUAAUUGAUGGGGUCAGCGCAAGCGAAGCUCCUGAUCGAAGCCCCGGUAAACGGCGGCCGUAACUAUAACGGUCCUAAGGUAGCGAAAUUCCUUGUCGGGUAAGUUCCGACCUGCACGAAUGGCGUAAUGAUGGCCAGGCUGUCUCCACCCGAGACUCAGUGAAAUUGAACUCGCUGUGAAGAUGCAGUGUACCCGCGGCAAGACGGAAAGACCCCGUGAACCUUUACUAUAGCUUGACACUGAACACUGGUCCUUGAUGUGUAGGAUAGGUGGGAGGCUUUGAAGUGUGGACGCCAGUCUGCAUGGAGCCAUCCUUGAAAUACCACCCUUUAAUGGCUGGUGUUCUAACGUAGACCCGUAAUCCGGGUUGCGGACAGUGUCUGGUGGGUAGUUUGACUGGGGCGGUCUCCUCCUAAAGAGUAACGGAGGAGCACGAAGGUUGGCUAAUCCUGGUCGGACAUCAGGAGGUUAGUGCAAUGGCAUAAGCCAGCUUGACUGCGAGCGUGACGGCGCGAGCAGGUGCGAAAGCAGGUCAUAGUGAUCCGGUGGUUCUGAAUGGAAGGGCCAUCGCUCAACGGAUAAAAGGUACUCCGGGGAUAACAGGCUGAUACCGCCCAAGAGUUCAUAUCGACGGCGGUGUUUGGCACCUCGAUGUCGGCUCAUCACAUCCUGGGGCUGAAGUAGGUCCCAAGGGUAUGGCUGUUCGCCAUUUAAAGUGGUACGCGAGCUGGGUUUAGAACGUCGUGAGACAGUUCGGUCCCUAUCUGCCGUGGGCGCUGGAGAACUGAGGGGGGCUGCUCCUAGUACGAGAGGACCGGAGUGGACGCAUCACUGGUGUU
This 2200-nucleotide ribosomal RNA is filed under the name Salmonella enterica subsp. enterica serovar Mississippi. RNAcentral describes it as "partial 23S ribosomal RNA". It matches the Rfam family "Bacterial large subunit ribosomal RNA", at positions 614 to 2716 of the family's 2925-position model. Lineage: Bacteria; Pseudomonadati; Pseudomonadota; Gammaproteobacteria; Enterobacterales; Enterobacteriaceae. The record is from RNAcentral.